RNAcentral lists this transfer RNA (74 nucleotides) under Fermentimonas caenicola. RNAcentral's name for it is "tRNA-Cys". It matches the Rfam family "tRNA". From Rfam's summary of the family: Transfer RNA (tRNA) molecules are approximately 80 nucleotides in length. Their secondary structure includes four short double-helical elements and three loops (D, anti-codon, and T loops). The record is from RNAcentral. Lineage: Bacteria; Pseudomonadati; Bacteroidota; Bacteroidia; Bacteroidales; Dysgonomonadaceae.
GGUACCUUGGCCGAGUGGUUAGGCGUCGGUCUGCAAAACCGGUUACGGCGGUUCAAAUCCGCCAGGUACCUCUA